RNAcentral lists this ribosomal RNA (754 nucleotides) under uncultured archaeon. RNAcentral's name for it is "bacterial SSU rRNA". It matches the Rfam family "Archaeal small subunit ribosomal RNA", at positions 102 to 859 of the family's 1478-position model. The record is from RNAcentral.
AGUCAACAUAACCAAAGGACGUGGAUAAACUCGGGAAACUGAGGCUAAACCGCGAUAGACCAAGAUACCUGGAAUGGUUUUUGAUUAAAAUCUAUAUGGCCUUUGGAUUGGACUGCGACCGAUCAGGCUGUUGGUGGGGUAAUGGCCCACCAAACCUGUAACCGGUACGGGCUCUGAGAGGAGAAGCCCGGAGAUGGGCACUGAGACAAGGGCCCAGGCCCUAUGGGGCGCAGCAGGCGCGAAAACUCUGCAAUAGGCGAAAGCUUGACAGGGUUAUUCUGAGUGAUCUCCGUUAAGGAAAUCUUUUGGCACCUCUAAAAAUGGUGCAGAAUAAGGGGUGGGCAAGCCUGGGGUCAGCCGCCGCGGUAAUACCAGCACCCCGAGUGGUCGGGUCGAUUAUUGGGCCUAAAGCAUCCGUAGCCGGUUCUACAAGUCUUCCGUUAAAUCCACCUGCUUAACAGAUGGGCUGCAGAGGAUACUAUAGAGCUAGGAGGCGGGAGAGGCAAGCGGUACUCAGUGGGUAGGGGUAAAAUCCGUUGAUCCACUGAAGACCACCAGUGGCGAAGGCGGCUUGCCAGAACGCGCUCGACGGUGAGGGAUGAAAGCUGGGGGAGCAAACCGGAUUAGAUACCCGGGUAGUCCCAGCUGUAAACGAUACAGACUCGGUGAUGAAUAGGCUUAGUGCCUAUUCAGUGCCGCAGGGAAGCCGUUAAGUCUGCCGCCUGGGGAGUACGGUCGCAAGACUGAAACUUAA